CACCUGAACCACUGGAGGCCCCAGGGCCUGUGCAUUGGGCCAAGGAUUUCUGCAUGUUUCCUGUUGCUCUCACAGUAUCCCUAAGGGGAUCCGCUGGUGCCAUUCUCCUGGUGUGAGGAGCCUUCACAGGCCCAAUGAUUUGCUGCUAGAAUUUUCUUUCUGCAUCAUCAUAUUAGAACUUGGCAAACUAGGUCUUGUGCAGGAGGAAGUGUGUGGCUAUUUUCCUGACACUGGUCAAGGACACAGUGACCAAAGAGGGCUUGGUGGUGCUGGAAAACUGAGGAAAGAUCAUGAGAGGAUACUGUCAACCUUCAAAUUGCUCGAAGUGGGGGACGAUUAUGCUAAUCCUGGGUUGUUACAAAAUAAAAGUUUCUCUGAUGAAUGCUUGGACUUCAAGAAAAAGAAGUAAAACUGGCACUGUUUGA
Talpa occidentalis (Iberian mole) is the source of this 425-nucleotide long non-coding RNA. RefSeq lists it as uncharacterized. NCBI's taxonomy places the organism in Eukaryota, Metazoa, Chordata, Mammalia, Eulipotyphla, Talpidae. The transcript has 3 exons. The record is from RefSeq and is a predicted model, not a curated record.